AAGUCGUAACAAGGUUUCCGUAGGUGAACCUGCGGAAGGAUCAUUAUCGAGUUUUGACUGGGUUGUAGCUGGCCUUCCGAGGCAUGUGCACGCCCUGCUCAUCCACUCUACACCUGUGCACUUACUGUGGGUAUCAGAUCGUGAAGCGUGCUCUUUUACCGGAGCUUGUGAAGCGUGUCUGUGCCUGCGUUUAUCACAAACACUAUAAAGUAUCAGAAUGUGUAUUACGAUGUAACGCAUCUAUAUACAACUUUCAGCAACGGAUCUCUUGGCUCUCGCAUCGAUGAAGAACGCAGCGAAAUGCGAUAAGUAAUGUGAAUUGCAGAAUUCAGUGAAUCAUCGAAUCUUUGAACGCACCUUGCGCUCCUUGGUAUUCCGAGGAGCAUGCCUGUUUGAGUGUCAUGAAAUCUUCAACCUAUAAGCUUUUGUGGUUUGUAGGCUUGGACUUGGAGGCUUGUCGGCCUUGAUCGGUCGGCUCCUCUUAAAUGCAUUAGCUUGAUUCCUUGCGGAUCGGCUCUCGGUGUGAUAAUAUCUACGCCGCGACCGUGAAGCGUUUGGCGAGCUUCUAACCGUCUCACUUGAGAGACAACUUUAUGACCUCUGACCUCAAAUCAGGUAGGACUACCCGCUGAACUUAAGCAUAUCAAUAAGCGGAGGAAAAGAAACUAACAAGGAUUCCCCUAGUAACUGCGAGUGAAGCGGGAAAAGCUCAAAUUUAAAAUCUGGCGGUCUUUGGCCGUCCGAGUUGUAGUCUGGAGAA
Molecule: unclassified non-coding RNA, 760 nt
Filed under: uncultured Ganoderma
Lineage: Eukaryota; Fungi; Basidiomycota; Agaricomycetes; Polyporales; Polyporaceae
Description: sequence contains ITS1, 5.8S rRNA gene and ITS2
Rfam family: 5.8S ribosomal RNA (bases 249-402)
Source: RNAcentral